UCCCUCCAGGUCUAAAUGAAUAAAGAGAUUUAAGGUUAGCUCUGCUUCAGAGCCACAGAGACAUGAGCACCAUCAAGUUUUAGGUUGGGUGAGGAUCUUCAGAACUCCUCAGCUUUAGAUAGCCAAGCACUGUUUCAUCCCUUCUUCAACAGCAUCUCUAGCAUAUACACUUUGCUUAAAUCCACCUUUGCAGCGUUUGCUGAUGGAAGGGGCACAACAGAGCCCAUGCCUUUGCCUCCUCUGGCCAACUCUAAUCAUAAAUCUCCUGUGAAUCAGCUGGGAAACAUGCAGAAUAUGAGAUUGAGGCCCUCAUUCAUACUAACUGGAAUUUUCCUUGGCAAUUGUAGAACAGAAACUUCUCCAUUCUUUAGAGAUGAACUUGCCUUAGGUAAGAUCUUCUCAGAGUACAAAAGAAAUUUAUUCUGGAAAUUUCAAACAAAUAUGGCCUCCUCACUGGAACUGGAACUGGAUCCACCAUCCCUUUUUCUCAGUGUCUUAUUGUUUUUGUUUUAGAUCUUUCACAAGGUGAGCUACAUCUCUGAGAGGAGCUCCUGGAAAUUACCAUUGAUACUUCUUAUUGCCAGCUCUACAGAUGGAAAUGAUGCACCUUGAUGAGGAAUGAGUACUGAGCCCAAGUCCUACAAAUGGGCUCAUACCAAAGACUUAUGAAUUAGAUAUCAAAUUACAAAAUACUAGUGUAGUUAAUACCUGUUUAGAUGAUGUAAAGCAAGGUAAUGGGAGUAUGUAUUAAAAGCAAAAAUUCGCAUGAAGCAGAACUGUUACCCUCUUCCAAAACCUCCCACUCUCAAGUUUUAAGAGGCAAUAAACCUAAAUGUACAUU
Cebus imitator (Panamanian white-faced capuchin) is the source of this 841-nucleotide RNA transcript. It is a transcript of the gene named long intergenic non-protein coding RNA 2876, with no coding region annotated. NCBI's taxonomy places the organism in Eukaryota, Metazoa, Chordata, Mammalia, Primates, Cebidae. The transcript has 4 exons. The record is from RefSeq and is a predicted model, not a curated record.